GAUGAAGAACGCAGCGAAAUGCGAUAAGUAGUGUGAAUUGCAGAAUUCAGUGAAUCAUCGAAUCUUUGAACGCACAUUGCGCCCCUUGGUAUUCCAUGGGGCAUGCCUGUUCGAGCGUCAUUUGUACCUUCAAGCUCUGCUUGGUGUUGGGUGUUUGUCUCGCCUCUGCGUGUAGACUCGCCUCAAAACAAUUGGCAGCCGGCGUAUUGAUUUCGGAGCGCAGUACAUCUCGCGCUUUGCACUCAUAACGACGACGUCCAAAAGUACAUUUUUACACUCUUGACCUCGGAUCAGGUAGGGAUACCCGCUGAACUUAAGCAUAUCAAUAACCGGAGGA
RNAcentral lists this unclassified non-coding RNA (337 nucleotides) under soil metagenome. RNAcentral describes it as "partial contains 5.8S ribosomal RNA, internal transcribed spacer 2, and large subunit ribosomal RNA". The stretch from base 1 to 120 matches the Rfam family "5.8S ribosomal RNA", at positions 35 to 154 of the family's 154-position model. The record is from RNAcentral.